UAGCGCCUCGUGAAUUCAUCUCCGGGGGUAGAGCACUGUUUCGGCUAGGGGGCCAUCCCGGCUUACCAACCCGAUGCAAACUGCGAAUACCGGAGAAUGUUAUCACGGGAGACACACGGCGGGUGCUAACGUCCGUCGUGAAGAGGGAAACAACCCAGACCGCCAGCUAAGGUCCCAAAGUCAUGGUUAAGUGGGAAACGAUGUGGGAAGGCCCAGACAGCCAGGAUGUUGGCUUAGAAGCAGCCAUCAUUUAAAGAAAGCGUAAUAGCUCACUGGUCGAGUCGGCCUGCGCGGAAGAUGUAACGGGGCUAAACCAUGCACCGAAGCUGCGGCAGCGACGCUGAUGCGUUGUUGGGUAGGGGAGCGUUCUGUAAGCCUGCGAAGGUGGCCUGUGAGGGUUGCUGGAGGUAUCAGAAGUGCGAAUGCUGACAUAAGUAACGAUAAAGCGGGUGAAAAGCCCGCUCGCCGGAAGACCAAGGGUUCCUGUCCAACGUUAAUCGGGGCAGGGUGAGUCGACCCCUAAGGCGAGGCCGAAAGGCGUAGUCGAUGGGAAACGGGUUAAUAUUCCCGUACUUGGUGUUACUGCGAAGGGGGGACGGAGAAGGCUAUGUUGGCCGGGCGACGGUUGUCCCGGUUUAAGCGUGUAGGUGUGUGUUCCAGGUAAAUCCGGUUCACUUUAACACUGAGGCGUGAUGACGAGGCACUACGGUGCUGAAGCAACAAAUGCCCUGCUUCCAGGAAAAGCCUCUAAGCAUCAGGUAACAUCAAAUCGUACCCCAAACCGACACAGGUGGUCAGGUAGAGAAUACCAAGGCGCUUGAGAGAACUCGGGUGAAGGAACUAGGCAAAAUGGUGCCGUAACUUCGGGAGAAGGCACGCUGACACGUAGGUGAAGUGAUUUACUCAUGGAGCUGAAGUCAGUCGAAGAUACCAGCUGGCUGCAACUGUUUAUUAAAAACACAGCACUGUGCAAACACGAAAGUGGACGUAUACGGUGUGACGCCUGCCCGGUGCCGGAAGGUUAAUUGAUGGGGUCAGCGCAAGCGAAGCUCCUGAUCGAAGCCCCGGUAAACGGCGGCCGUAACUAUAACGGUCCUAAGGUAGCGAAAUUCCUUGUCGGGUAAGUUCCGACCUGCACGAAUGGCGUAAUGAUGGCCAGGCUGUCUCCACCCGAGACUCAGUGAAAUUGAACUCGCUGUGAAGAUGCAGUGUACCCGCGGCAAGACGGAAAGACCCCGUGAACCUUUACUAUAGCUUGACACUGAACAUUGAGCCUUGAUGUGUAGGAUAGGUGGGAGGCUUUGAAGUGUGGACGCCAGUCUGCAUGGAGCCGGCCUUGAAAUACCACCCUUUAAUGUUUGAUGUUCUAACGUGGACCCGUGAUCCGGGUUGCGGACAGUGUCUGGUGGGUAGUUUGACUGGGGCGGUCUCCUCCUAAAGAGUAACGGAGGAGCACGAAGGUUGGCUAAUCCUGGUCGGACAUCAGGAGGUUAGUGCAAUGGCAUAAGCCAGCUUGACUGCGAGCGUGACGGCGCGAGCAGGUGCGAAAGCAGGUCAUAGUGAUCCGGUGGUUCUGAAUGGAAGGGCCAUCGCUCAACGGAUAAAAGGUACUCCGGGGAUAACAGGCUGAUACCGCCCAAGAGUUCAUAUCGACGGCGGUGUUUGGCACCUCGAUGUCGGCUCAUCACAUCCUGGGGCUGAAGUAGGUCCCAAGGGUAUGGCUGUUCGCCAUUUAAAGUGGUACGCGAGCUGGGUUUAGAACGUCGUGAGACAGUUCGGUCCCUAUCUGCCGUGGGCGCUGGAGAACUGAGGGGGGCUGCUCCUAGUACGAGAGGACCGGAGUGGACGCAUCACUGGUGUUCGGGUUGUCAUGCCAAUGGCACUGCCCGGUAGCUAAAUGCGGAAGAGAUAAGUGCUGAAAGCAUCUAAGCACGAAACUUGCCCCGAGAUGAGUUCUCCCUGAGACUUAGAGUCUCCUGAAGGAACGUUGAAGACGACGACGUUGAUAGGCCGGGUGUGUAAGCGCAGCGAUGCGUUGAGCUAACCGGUACUAAUGAACCGUGAGGCUUAACCUU
RNAcentral lists this ribosomal RNA (2075 nucleotides) under Salmonella enterica. RNAcentral's name for it is "partial 23S ribosomal RNA". It matches the Rfam family "Bacterial large subunit ribosomal RNA", at positions 875 to 2925 of the family's 2925-position model. Lineage: Bacteria; Pseudomonadati; Pseudomonadota; Gammaproteobacteria; Enterobacterales; Enterobacteriaceae. The record is from RNAcentral.